Molecule: ribosomal RNA, 254 nt
Filed under: uncultured bacterium
Lineage: Bacteria
Description: partial 16S ribosomal RNA
Rfam family: Bacterial small subunit ribosomal RNA
Source: RNAcentral
UACGUAGGGUGCGAGCGUUAAUCGGAAUUACUGGGCGUAAAGCGUGCGCAGGCGGUCUGUUAAGACCGAUGUGAAAUCCCCGGGCUUAACCUGGGAACUGCAUUGGUGACUGGCAGGCUUUGAGUGUGGCAGAGGGAGGUAGAAUUCCACGUGUAGCAGUGAAAUGCGUAGAGAUGUGGAGGAACACCGAUGGCGAAGGCAGCCCCCUGGGUCAAGAUUGACGCUCAUGCACGAAAGCGUGGGGAGCAAACAGG